Molecule: ribosomal RNA, 505 nt
Filed under: uncultured bacterium
Lineage: Bacteria
Description: partial 16S ribosomal RNA
Rfam family: Bacterial small subunit ribosomal RNA
Source: RNAcentral
GACGAACGCUGGCGGCGUGCCUAAUACAUGCAAGUAGAACGCACAGUUUAUACCGUAGCUUGCUACACCAUAGACUGUGAGUUGCGAACGGGUGAGUAACGCGUAGGUAACCUGCCUGGUAGCGGGGGAUAACUAUUGGAAACGAUAGCUAAUACCGCAUAAUAUUAAUUAUUGCAUGAUAAUUAAUUGAAAGGUGCAAUUGCACCACUACCAGAUGGACCUGCGUUGUAUUAGCUAGUAGGUGAGGUAACGGCUCACCUAGGCGACGAUACAUAGCCGACCUGAGAGGGUGAUCGGCCACACUGGGACUGAGACACGGCCCAGACUCCUACGGGAGGCAGCAGUAGGGAAUCUUCGGCAAUGGACGAAAGUCUGGCCGAGCAACGCCGCGUGAGUGAAGAAGGUUUUCGGAUCGUAAAGCUCUGUUGUAAGAGAAGAACGGGCGUGAGAGUGGAAAGUUCACACUGUGACGGUAUCUUACCAGAAAGGGACGGCUAACUACGUG